This 468-nucleotide ribosomal RNA is filed under the name uncultured bacterium. RNAcentral describes it as "partial 16S ribosomal RNA". It matches the Rfam family "Bacterial small subunit ribosomal RNA", at positions 28 to 507 of the family's 1533-position model. The record is from RNAcentral.
GACGAACGCUGGCGGCGUGCUUAACACAUGCAAGUCGAACGGAAAGACCCUGCUUUUGUGGGGUGCUCGAGUGGCGAACGGGUGAGUAACACGUGAGUAACCUGCCCUUGACUUUGGGAUAACUUCAGGAAACUGGGGCUAAUACCGGAUAGGAGCUCCUGCUGCAUGGUGGGGGUUGGAAAGUUUCGGCGGUUGGGGAUGGGCUCGCGGCUUAUCAGCUUGUUGGUGGGGUAGUGGCUUACCAAGGCUUUGACGGGUAGCCGGCCUGAGAGGGUGACCGGCCACAUUGGGACUGAGAUACGGCCCAGACUCCUACGGGAGGCAGCAGUGGGGAAUAUUGCACAAUGGGCGGAAGCCUGAUGCAGCAACGCCGCGUGCGGGAUGACGGCCUUCGGGUUGUAAACCGCUUUCGCCUGUGACGAAGCGUGAGUGACGGUAAUGGGUAAAGAAGCACCGGCUAACUACGUG